This 18-nucleotide small RNA is filed under the name Bombyx mori (domestic silkworm). RNAcentral's name for it is "ovarian small RNA-10223". The record is from RNAcentral. Lineage: Eukaryota; Metazoa; Arthropoda; Insecta; Lepidoptera; Bombycidae.
AACACGUCUUAUCGGUAG